Molecule: ribosomal RNA, 253 nt
Filed under: uncultured bacterium
Lineage: Bacteria
Description: partial 16S ribosomal RNA
Rfam family: Bacterial small subunit ribosomal RNA
Source: RNAcentral
GACAGAGGGUGCAAACGUUGUUCGGAAUUACUGGGCGUAAAGCGUGUGUAGGCGGUCCACUAAGUCGGGUGUGAAAGCCCUGGGCUCAACCCAGGAAGUGCACUCGAAACUGGCGGGCUAGAGUAUCGGAGAGGUUGGUGGAAUUCUCGGUGUAGAGGUGAAAUUCGUAGAUAUCGAGAGGAACACCCGUGGCUAAGGCGGCUCUCUAGUACGGUACUGACGCUGAGACGCGAAAGCGUGGGGAGCGAACAGG